This 305-nucleotide long non-coding RNA is filed under the name Homo sapiens (human). RNAcentral describes it as "HSALNT0288206". Lineage: Eukaryota; Metazoa; Chordata; Mammalia; Primates; Hominidae. The record is from RNAcentral.
GCCUGCCCAGGUCUGUGCUGAGGAGAACACUGCUCCGCCUUUGCUGUAUCUCCGAAGUGUGUGCAGAGGAGAACUCAGCUCCGCCCUGGCGAUGCUCUCCGUGUGGGUGCUGGGAAGAAUGCAGCUCCGCCCUCGCAAAGGUGCACAGCGCCGGCGCAGGCGCAGGGGGGCCCACAGCGCCGGAGCAGGUGCAGAAAGUCAGAAGGUCCAUGAGGGGAAGGUGAGACACCUGGGGCAGAGAAAAAAAUAAAAUACUGCGCCGCCCAGAAGUGGGGCCUGGGUCCCCCACGGACGAACGUCCCUAC